Long non-coding RNA from Petromyzon marinus (sea lamprey), 3690 nucleotides. RefSeq lists it as uncharacterized. The record is from RefSeq and is a predicted model, not a curated record. NCBI's taxonomy places the organism in Eukaryota, Metazoa, Chordata, Hyperoartia, Petromyzontiformes, Petromyzontidae.
UUAACUCUGGCCGGUGAUGGAUGACAAGUGUGCGGAGUGGCUCCUCCUGACUGCCCCGGCCGUGACAGCCCACAGCAGAUGGUAGAUUAAUGCUCCACUCGCUCACGCAGGCUCCCUCUCCCAAACCCACACCACCCCCCCCUCCUCCCCAAGCGCUGCUUCUUUUCGUCCGCGGCAUCUCCUCGCACUCCCCGGUUCUCUAAGCGUCCCCCCUCUCUCUUUCUCCAUCGUAAGCCCGCCCCAACCAAUGGCACAAAAAAAAAACCCCACACUCACCGGGGCUGCAGCUUUUUAAUAUGGAAAUGAAGUGUUAAUAUGCUUCUAUUGAUGGAAAAUGAGCUGCCGUCCAGAAUGCGGGAUGAUGGGCAUGCAGUGCGGAGUAAAUUAGAUCCCGUGGCAACAUCCAGCGAAGGGGAGGACGACUUUUGACGGUCAACCCCUUGCAGAGGCUGCGUCUGCGCUCUUGCUCACAAUGCUAACCUGCAUAUCCCUGACAAGAGGAGUUCCUCGGUCCGAUGAAACGUUGACGACUCUUCAAUUCAGCUCAGCCUCUGAUCCGAUUUCAAGGCUCGACCGCAGGGCAUGGUGAUCCGGAACGUCUGGUCGAAGACGAGCUACGCGCCCGAGCAGGCCCAGGCGGUGGUGUCGGAUGAGGUCCCCGAUGUUGGGGAGAAAAAGCAUGAUGUUGUUGAGAGAGGCAAAGCAGCAGGAGGAGGCCAUGGGGAUCCUUCACCGGAUCUCCACGUCGCAUCGACUGGAGGAGCACAGGUGUACCGCCGAGGUCGAUGAAUGUGUCGACCUCCUCCAUAGUUUGCUGUCCACUGUGCUGGAGUUUGGUGGCGGCUCCUGGACCCACCAACUGGUUCUGUACCUUUGUCUUGGCCAUCACCAGAUGCAGCCCCGAAGGCCUCUGCCUCCAUGUGGUCGAUAUGAGACUGGAGGGGCGAGGGGUGAGUCACUGACGGGUAGCACGACAUCGUCGAUGAAGUCCCAAGUCCGUGAAUCGUACGCUGCCGGCAGGGCUGUCCAUAUUGGACUGCAACUCUACCCAUGAAACCAAUCGAUAGCCAGGCAAGAAUAACGAUGGUGUCAACACGCAUCCUUGCUGGACUCCAGACCGAGUGUGAAAUGGUUCAGACAGCUCUUGACUGACCCUCACCCUGGUGGAUGUAUUUCCGGGAUAGGUGAGUUUGUAGCACAUUAGCAUUUGCUUUUCCCGGGACAGAUAGAAGGGUGAUCCGACGGUAGCUGCUACAGUCAGCUGGUGAACCUUUGCACCUUACAAAAAUAGACAAUUGCACCAUCUCUCCAGUCCUCCGGGGCUCACUACAGGUUCCAGGCGAGGCUAUGACGAUACGUUUGAAAACAUGAAAUGUUUCGACCAAUAACGAGUCACAAUUUUAGCGUUUAAGUACCUUGUUCACAUUUAGACAGCUGGCACUUCAAAUAGAAGUCAACGGUCAAGACUAUCCAAUAAUACUGUUCAGCGUCAAUAAAUUAAGUUACUGUACCCCUUUAUUGGAAAGUCAAUCGUGGGAAAGUAGAAUGUCCACUGUUGGCUCAGACAGUUGCAGAAAUGAGUGCUGCCCUGAUGUUCAUUUUAGCAAGAAGCACCAUAUUAUUCUUUUUUUAGCAAGUCUUGGGUGACAGAUUUCCUAAUGUUCGUGGGAACGUCACUGUGGACUGCUCAGCAAGUGCCGACAUAGGAUACAAAAAUAUAAAAAAAACGAAGUGGGUGUAGAUAACUACACCCACUUCAGAAAAAAAUAUGAACGUGUUUUUUUUUACUUAAAUAAUCCCGUUUUCCUGAGCAGGUUUUCUUCAAAAAUAUAAAAAAAAACUAUCCCAGCCGGUAAGCGUGACCUGCUGUUGAGGCACGACUCGGGAGAGGUAGGUGGUGGUGGGUGCGGGAGGUCUGUGAAUGACGCACCGGACACCUUGAGACUGCACGGCACCAACUGGCCCGUCCCAGAAUAGCAACUGCACUGCAGCGCCGGUGCGGUCGCGACGCGGUGGCAAGCGGCACCGGAUGACUGGACUCAUGUUCCCGAAAGGAGGAGCUAGGUUCAAUCGCCGGUGGGCCAAUAGUUGACAAAUUGUAUUCCUCGACCGUUGUCUCGGGCAAUCCGAGAAUAAAUGACGUCGUGGUGUGCGCGUUAAGGUGCGAGAACAUCUGCUAACGCCAGGCAUUGAAGGCGAGGGCUAAAUGGUGCACAGGAGAUAGCAGUAGGGCGAUGGAUUACUGAAUCUAUCUGUGAGGACUUUUGGGUGUUAUCCCCUGUGUUUGCAUUUUUAAGUACAGCACUCUGAUUUUCUCCCACGUAUUGAAAGCUCUUUAACGAAAUUAGCCAAAAAAUGAUGUUCUCAGGCAGUUUUCCCAUCCAAGUACCACAAGCAGCUCCUGAAAAACCGUGUCUUAAGUCUCAGUGAGACUGUCCUAGCUCAGGGGCAUUGUUUGUUCUCGUGGGCACCCUCUCCUAAUGACCCAGAGUAAAAUACUUGCAAUUUUAUACUUGGAAAGUCUCCUGAGAUGGGGCAGUGACUGCACGAAAGACAGAAAUGCGAGGAUCGCAAACGCAAAAAGAGUAAUGGCAGGAUUCAAAAACAUAUGAGGAAGCGAGCGAAUCAGCUACAAGACCAAACUGAACAUGUUAAGAACAUUGGUGUUCAGUACAGCUUUGUAUGCCUGCGAGACUUGGUCAUUGAAAAAGACUGACAGAGAUCAGAUAUUGCACUUGAACUGUAUUACUACAGAAGGAUGCUGCAUCUAAGCUGGACCCAAAGAGGGAGCAACGUAGAAGUAAGAAAACAGUUGCACAUCGAAGAUGAGCUGAUGAGAAGGAAACUGACACUAUUUGGACACGUGCAGGAUGGACAAAAACAGAAAAAUGUAAAGCAUGGUGUUCGGAAAAAUGGAAGGAACCGGAAAGAGAGGAAAACCUCACAGAAAGUGGCUUGACGAUGACGACAUCAAGAGAUUGGUGCCAGAAGGAUGAGGCGCUACUUGUGCAAAGUGGCACAAGACAGAGAAAAGUGGAAAGAAAUAACGAAAUGUGCAGUGGACACCUACGGGCUAUCUGCCCAUGGAUCGUGAUGAUGAUGAUGAUGAAAAUGCAUUAUUUCAAAAGUGGCAGGCCACCUGCCUGCCAUGGUAUUAGUGUUAAAUGCAUGGCUAGAUAUUUUUUUUAAAUCUCUAAUGCUCCAAAGACCUUGCAAAUUAGCUGAUUGUAUCUCAAGUACAUUAAGCUUAUCUUUGUCGUAAACAUUCUAAAUUAAUGAAAUCAAUCAAAGAGCAUACUUAAGCUGCAAACAAUAUAAAAGGACCAUUUAUUGAACGGCAAAACGUAGUCCAAGUCAUCACAUUCACGAUUAAUACCGUAUCCUUUGUAUUAUAAUAAUGUUAAUUUAUUGGUGUUUUGCCCCAAUGCGAAUCGUAUAAUUGAAAAACGGCACAUUAGUAAGGGUCGCUAAAGGCCCUUGAAUACAUAAAUAACGAUGCAACGUCAUGGCACAGCUGACAGAGGAAGCACUGAUUGGUUUGAGGGAAUCAGGAAGGGAAGAGAGCAGGGAAAAUUGAUAAGGAGGAAGGGCACGGUUACGGGCGCCAUGGUGGUGAGAUGGUCUACCGGAGGUCAUGGGUUCGAUCCCGACCCUGACGCCUGCUGUAUAUUUAGAGUUUGCAUGUCUCUC